RNAcentral lists this ribosomal RNA (253 nucleotides) under uncultured bacterium. Its description in RNAcentral is "partial 16S ribosomal RNA". It matches the Rfam family "Bacterial small subunit ribosomal RNA", at positions 524 to 776 of the family's 1533-position model. The record is from RNAcentral.
UACGGAGGGAGCUAGCGUUGUUCGGAAUUACUGGGCGUAAAGCGCACGUAGGCGGCUUUGUAAGUUAGAGGUGAAAGCCCGGAGCUCAACUCCGGAAUUGCCUUUAAGACUGCAUCGCUUGAAUCCGGGAGAGGUGAGUGGAAUUCCGAGUGUAGAGGUGAAAUUCGUAGAUAUUCGCAAGAACACCAGUGGCGAAGGCGGCUCACUGGCCCGGUACUGACGCUGAGGUGCGAAAGCGUGGGGAGCAAACAGG